Molecule: long non-coding RNA, 461 nt
Filed under: Dromaius novaehollandiae (emu)
Lineage: Eukaryota; Metazoa; Chordata; Aves; Casuariiformes; Dromaiidae
Description: lncRNA (ENSDNVG00000007204.1)
Source: RNAcentral
CCCCAGCGAAGGGAAACAAAACAAAACGCCGGCACCGCCGCGCUCUCCCUCCUUCUCCUCCUGGCAUUUGGUGGUGGUUUUUUUUUCUUGGGGACUCUCCUUUCUCCUGCCAGACUGACUUGCACCUUCUCGAUUAUUUCUCUUCCCCUCGUUUUUUUAUACUCUUCUCCCUGCUUCCAAACCCUGUGUCUGUGUGUUUUAAUACUAUCACAACCUCUGCUAAAAAUAGAUCUUUUUAUAUACCCUUCCUCCUCUCUGAUCCCAUCCAACACCCCUUGUUAAGGAUCUGAUCUAUGAAGACCUGCUAGCAAGAACAGUACUUCCCAGGGAAAAUAUACCAGCUACUUGUGUGUUGCAGUCAAAGGUAACCCUGUGUUUGGAAAUGUGAAAUGCAAGUUUUACUGGAAUAGAAACAUAGUAUUUUUGCUGGAAUGUGAAUACUUUGAGAGGGAAAAAAAAAC